Molecule: long non-coding RNA, 506 nt
Organism: Pseudophryne corroboree (corroboree frog)
Lineage: Eukaryota; Metazoa; Chordata; Amphibia; Anura; Myobatrachidae
Exons: 3
Source: RefSeq, a predicted model, not a curated record
UUGCCUCUGUCCAGGUGAGAGCCGCCUCUGCUCCUCCUCUCAGCUCCACCUUCACUCUCACCAGGGACUCUGUGUCACUGCCCCAGCCCUCUUGCCUGCUGGGGAGGGCUCUACAGACAUCUCCCAGGACUUCUGAUACAUGGAGGGGAAUGUACACUGUGCUCCGGCUGCUGCUCACAGUAACAGAAGAUCUGUCCGAUAACUGAGGUGAUCGGGGCUCAUCACUCUGCGAACUCGCCAAUAGUGCCAGUGGUGGCUGGGGUGACACUGCCGAAAUGCGUCGCCUGGGUGGGGAUGAUGGAGCCGCAGAUUCCGUGCCAAGACGCCGUGUCUUACUUGGCCUCCUGGAAUAUGUGACUACAGUGAAGUCUUGCCUGCAAUCCCAGCCUCAUCCUGACUUGUCUGAGGCCUGUCUGGCCGGCUGGUCUGUGGGACUGUUGAAAAAGUGGACCAAACAUUAUUACCAUGCUUUGUGUAAAAAUUAUAACUGCAAAGCCUUAGUGUAC